AACGAACGCUGGCGGCAUGCCUAACACAUGCAAGUCGAACGGGGCCCUUCGGGGUUUAGUGGCGCACGGGUGCGUAACGCGUGGGAAUCUGCCCUUUGGUUCGGAAUAACAGCUGGAAACGGCUGCUAAUACCGGAUGAUGACGAAAGUCCAAAGAUUUAUCGCCAGAGGAUGAGCCCGCGUUGGAUUAGGUAGUUGGUGGGGUAAAGGCCUACCAAGCCGACGAUCCAUAGCUGGUCUGAGAGGAUGAUCAGCCACACUGGGACUGAGACACGGCCCAGACUCCUACGGGAGGCAGCAGUGGGGAAUAUUGGACAAUGGGCGCAAGCCUGAUCCAGCAAUGCCGCGUGAGUGAUGAAGGCCCUAGGGUUGUAAAGCUCUUUUACCCGGGAAGAUAAUGACUGUACCGGGAGAAUAAGCCCCGGCUAACUCCGUG
RNAcentral lists this ribosomal RNA (435 nucleotides) under uncultured bacterium. RNAcentral's name for it is "bacterial SSU rRNA". It matches the Rfam family "Bacterial small subunit ribosomal RNA", at positions 29 to 507 of the family's 1533-position model. The record is from RNAcentral.